RNAcentral lists this ribosomal RNA (220 nucleotides) under uncultured Diversispora. Its description in RNAcentral is "partial small subunit ribosomal RNA". It matches the Rfam family "Eukaryotic small subunit ribosomal RNA", at positions 591 to 815 of the family's 1831-position model. The record is from RNAcentral. Lineage: Eukaryota; Fungi; Glomeromycota; Glomeromycetes; Diversisporales; Diversisporaceae.
CCAAUAGCGUAUAUUAAAGUUGUUGCAGUUAAAAAGCUCGUAGUUGAACUUCGGGGUUUACUCAUUGGUCAGGCUUAAUUGUCUGUACUGAUGAGAUGAGUCUCUACCUUCUGAGGAACUUUCAUGCCAUUUAUUUGGUGUGGUUGGAAAUCAGGACUGUUACUUUGAAAAAAUUAGAGUGUUUAAAGCAGGCUAACGUCUGAAUACAUUAGCAUGGAAU